Molecule: long non-coding RNA, 2951 nt
Organism: Canis lupus familiaris (dog)
Lineage: Eukaryota; Metazoa; Chordata; Mammalia; Carnivora; Canidae
Exons: 6
Source: RefSeq, a predicted model, not a curated record
GUCAAAGUCUACUUUGGACUUUUUACAUUGGUCACCAUGUACCCUGUCAGCAGCACCUGCAAGAAUAACUUAAUUAUACCAAACGUGCUGUUUGGGGAUAUAGCAGGUUAAAAUUAAACCAACUUCAUGCAGUGAAUACAUGCACACAUACUCUCUUGUUUUCCGAAGGAAGGAACUUCUAACUUCUACAGAGUACCAUUCCUUUAGUUUUGUCAACCAGCUCGCUGAUCCAGUGCCCUCUGGAAUUUCUGUGCCUGUUUCCUUUAAUCUGAGUGUUUUGGUACAAUCUCUUCAGACCACAGUGAUUGGAGUGAGAGGCUCUCCGGUUUUUCAGCACCCAGAUCUCUUGCAUCCUUGACAUCUGCUUCUCUGCAGAUCCCAACUAAUACAAGUGGUACUGAGAGUGGUUUGAUAAAACAAGUGGCAAGAUGGGGAUUUAGUUAUGGCUCAUCUUUACCACUCAGUCUGAAUGGAAGGUGGAUAACAGAAAGUCCCUGGAAAAAGCCCCAAUUGCUAAUGAUUUCACUGGAGACUGACUAAGCGUGGGGCACAUAAUCUAACUGAGGCCAACUAGAUCCGCCAAGAAUUAGUUCUGGGAUUUUUGCUGGACUUGUCUGGAAAGAAAAUUUUUCCCUAUGCAAGAAUUCUUAGCAUUGGAAAAUAGACAUUUAGAAGUUGUAGAGACCACACAAACAGAUGAGGCCUCAGAAGAAAGCCUACUGAGACAGAAUAAGAUAGACUGAGAUUCCUCAGGACUUUAAUGGACUGAAAUAAUUACCAUUCAGCUCUUUCAGAUUUGGAGCUACUCACAGUUUAGGCCUCAGAACUCUGGCGGAAGGGAUUCAAUGGAAAACUUCUGGCUAUUAAUGAAAAUAUGCAUAAUUAAUUCUGAAGAAUGAAGGAUAAAUAACAAAAACAGUCUCUCUGUUCCCUGAGACACAAUAUUGAAAUUAGGCCAGUCAAUAACCUCACAAAAGCCUCUAACUGUUCAACUGAAAGAGUCACAUGUCACUUUAAGUCAAAAACUGAAAGUGAUUAAGUUUAGUGAGGAAGGCCUGUCAAAAGCUGAGACAGGCUGAAAGCUAGGCCUCCUGCACCAAAUAGCCAAAUAAACUGGUGAAGUCAAAUGAAAUAUUCUUAAAGAAAAUUAAAAGUGCUUGUCCAGUGAACACAUGAAUUCUAAGAAAGUGAAAAAGCCUUAUUGCUGAUAUGGAGAAAGUGUGAGUGGUCUGGACAGAAGAUCAAAUCAGCCACAACAUUCCCUUAAAACAAAGCCUAAUCCAGAGCAAGUCUCUCACUCUCUUCAAUUCUAUGAAGUCUGAAGGAGGUGAGCAAGUUGCAGAAGAGAAGCUGGAAGCUAGCAGAGGCUGGUUGGUUCAUGGGUUUAAAUAAAGUAAGCCAUCUCCAUAACAUAAAAGUACAAGGUGAAGCAAUAAGUGCUGAUGUAGAAGCUGUAGCAAGUUAUUCAGAAGACCUAGUGAAGAUCAUUCAUGAAGGUGUCUACAAUAAACAACAAAUUUUCAACAUAGAUUAAACAGUCUUCUGUUGGAAGAAGAUGCCAUCUCAGAUUUCAUAGCCUUCAAAGCUGCAAAGGACAGACUACCUCCUCUAUUAGGGUCUAAUCCAGCUGAUGACUAUAGGUUGAAGCCAAUGCUCAUUUGCCACCCCCAAAUACUCAGGUCCUUAAAAAAUAUUCUAAAUCUACUCCAUCUGUGCUUCAUAAGUGGAACAAUAAAGUAUGGAUGACAGCAUAUCUGUUUACAGCAUUAUUUUAAGCCCACUCUCAGGAAAAAAAAUUUACAGCUCAGUGACAAUGCACCUGGUCACCCAGGGGCUCUGAUGGAGCUAUACAAUGCGAUUCACAUUGUUUGCAUGCAAUACUAACACCACAUUUAUUCUACAGCCCAGGGACCAAGGAGUAAUUUCAACUUCCAAGUCUUUUUAUUGAAGUAAUACAGUUUGUAAGGGCAUUGCUGCCAUAGAUAGUGAAUAGUAAUUCCUCUGAUGGAACUGGGCAAAGCAAAUUGAAAACCUUCUGGAAAGGAUUCACCAUUGUAGGUGCCAUUUAAAACAGUUAUGAUUUAUGGGAAGAGGUUAAAUAUUGACAUAAACAGGAGUUUGGAAAAAGUUGAUUGUAACCCCAACAGAUGAAGUUCAAAACUUCAGCAGAGUAAGUAAUUGUGGAUGUGGUGGAAACAGCAAGAGAACUAAAGUUAGAAGUAGGGCCUGAAGAUGGAACUAAAUUGCUGCAAUCUCAUGAUAAAAAUGGACAAGGAGUUGCUUCUUACAUAUGAGCAAAGAAAGUGGUCUCUUGAGAGACCUCUUGAGAGACCAAUCUAUUCUUGGUGAAGAUGCUGUGAAGAUGGCUGAAAUGACAACAAAAGAUUUAGUAUAGUAUGUAAACCCAGCUGAUAAAGCAGCAGCAGGAUUUGAGAGAACCGUCUCCAAUUUUGAAAGAAGUCUACUGUAGGUAAAAUGUUUCAGACACCAUUGUUUGCUACAGGGAAAUCAUUCACAAAAGGAAGAAUCAAUUUGGCAAACUUCAUGGUCGAAAUUAUUUAAGAACUUGCCACAGCCACUCUGACCUUUGGCAAUCACUACCCUGAUCAGCACCCAUCAUUAUCGAGGCAAGACCCUCCACCAGCAAAAAGAUUACAACUCUUUGUUUUUUGUUUUUGUUUUUGUUUUUAUUACAACUCUUUGAAAACUCAUGAUGAUUGGCAUAUUUUAGCAAUAAAGUAUUUUUUAAUUAAGGAAUGAACCUUUUUUUUUGACAUAAUGCUAUCGCACACUUAAUUGACCGUAGCACAGUAUAAACAUCUUUUAAAUGCACUGAGAAACCAAAUUUGUUUGGCUCACUUUAUUGCAAUAUUUGCUUUAUGGUGGUCUGCAACUAAACCCACAAUAUUUUCCAAGUAUUCCUGCCAUCCCCAUGAGAAAUGAAGCAACUG